UUUCCUACGGGUGGCAGCAGUGGGGAAUCUUCCGCAAUGGACGAAAGUCUGACGGAGCAACGCCGCGUGAGUGAAGAAGGUUUUCGAAUCGUAAAGCUCUGUUGUCAGGGACGAGCAGGGGGAGUAUCAACAACACUCUCUCAUGACGGUACCUGACUAGGAAGCCACGGCUAACUACGUGCCAGCAGCCGCGGUAAUACGUAGGUGGCGAGCGUUGUCCGGAAUUAUUGGGCGUAAAGGGAGCGCAGGUGGGAAAGUAAGUCUGCUUUAAAAGUGCGGGGCUCAACCCCGGGAGGGAGUGGAAACUACUUUUCUUGAGUGCAGGAGAGGAAAGCGGAAUUCCUAGUGUAGCGGUGAAAUGCGUAGAUAUUAGGAGGAACACCAGUGGCGAAGGCGGCUUUCUGGACUGUAACUGACACUGAGGCUCGAAAGCCAGGGGAGCGAACGGGAUUAGAUACCCUUGUAGUCC
This 469-nucleotide ribosomal RNA is filed under the name uncultured Veillonellaceae bacterium. RNAcentral's name for it is "bacterial SSU rRNA". It matches the Rfam family "Bacterial small subunit ribosomal RNA", at positions 335 to 796 of the family's 1533-position model. The record is from RNAcentral. Lineage: Bacteria; Bacillati; Bacillota; Negativicutes; Veillonellales; Veillonellaceae.